Molecule: ribosomal RNA, 330 nt
Filed under: Gephyromantis boulengeri
Lineage: Eukaryota; Metazoa; Chordata; Amphibia; Anura; Mantellidae
Description: partial 16S ribosomal RNA
Rfam family: Bacterial large subunit ribosomal RNA
Source: RNAcentral
UCUAAUCAGUGAAACUGAUCUUCCCGUGAAGAAGCGGGAAUAAAUUUAUAAGACGAGAAGACCCCAUGGAGCUUUAAACUAGCUUCACAUCUAUUUUACAUACCUUCAAACUAAAUAGAACACUGCCUGCUCAGCUUUAGGUUGGGGUGACCGCGGAACACAACAUAACUUCCACGAUGUACAAACUAUUUUUUAUCUAAGAAUAACUAUUCUAAGAAUUAGCAUUCUAACAUAUGAUGACCCGAUAAUCGAUCAACGGACUAAGUUACCCUGGGGAUAACAGCGCAAUCCAUUUCAAGAGCCCCUAUCGACAAAUGGGUUUACGACCUC